UGUCGACGGUAACAUUGAUGCUUGCAUCAGAUGACGAGUGGCGCACGGGUGAGUAACGCGUAUACAAUCUACCUUUUACAGGGGGAUAGCCUUUAGAAAUGAAGAUUAAUAUCCCAUAGUAAGUAGUUUUGGCAUCAAGACAACUUUAAAGUUUCGGCGGUAAAAGAUGAGUAUGCGUUCUAUUAGUUAGUUGGUAAGGUAACGGCUUACCAAGACCACGAUAGAUAGGGGCCCUGAGAGGGGGAUCCCCCACACUGGUACUGAGACACGGACCAGACUCCUACGGGAGGCAGCAGUGAGGAAUAUUGGACAAUGGGCGCGAGCCUGAUCCAGCCAUGCCGCGUGCAGGAAGACUGCCCUAUGGGUUGUAAACUGCUUUUAUACAGGAAGAAACCUUUUCACGUGUGAAAAGCUGACGGUACUGUAAGAAUAAGGAUCGGCUAACUCCGUGCCAGCAGCCGCGGUAAUACGGAGGAUCCAAGCGUUAUCCGGAAUCAUUGGGUUUAAAGGGUCCGUAGGUGGAUAAUUAAGUCAGGGGUGAAAGUUUGCAGCUCAACUGUAAAAUUGCCUUUGAUACUGGUUAUCUUGAAUUAUUGUGAAGUGGUUAGAAUAUGUAGUGUAGCGGUGAAAUGCAUAGAUAUUACAUAGAAUAUCAAUUGCGAAAGGCAGAUCACUAA
This 677-nucleotide ribosomal RNA is filed under the name Winogradskyella sp. Its description in RNAcentral is "bacterial SSU rRNA". It matches the Rfam family "Bacterial small subunit ribosomal RNA", at positions 60 to 732 of the family's 1533-position model. The record is from RNAcentral. Lineage: Bacteria; Pseudomonadati; Bacteroidota; Flavobacteriia; Flavobacteriales; Flavobacteriaceae.